GGACUACCGGGGUUUCUAAUCCUGUUUGAUCCCCACGCUUUCGUGCCUCAGCGUCAGUUGUGGCUCAGUAACCUGCCUUCGCAAUUGGUGUUCUAUAUCAUAUCUAAGCAUUUCACCGCUACAUGAUAUAUUCCAGUUACCUCAACCACACUCGAGACUUUCAGUUUCAAUGGCAAUUCUAUAGUUAAGCUACAGGCUUUCACCACUGACUUAAAAGUCCGCCUACGCACCCUUUAAACCCAGUAAAUCCGGACAACGCUUGGAUCCUUCGUAUUACCGCGGCUGCUGGCAC
Molecule: ribosomal RNA, 292 nt
Filed under: uncultured Bacteroidota bacterium
Lineage: Bacteria; Pseudomonadati; Bacteroidota
Description: uncultured Bacteroidetes bacterium partial 16S ribosomal RNA
Source: RNAcentral